UGAUGGUUGUGAAGUGGAAUUUAAGGAGAGUUAUUGUUUUGUUAGGCUGUAGUUGUAUCUAUAUAACCAGAACCUCCGUCAAAACUCUGGUCCAGUUCACAACGUGGACAUGUAGAACUACUUUGUGUAAACAGGAGAUUCACAUAACAAUGUUAGUAGUGGUUUCCUAGGGUUUGUCGCAAAUGGCUCCCUAUUCACUAUCUAGUGCACUUCUUCUGGUCAAAAGUAGUGCACUACUAUAGGGAACAGUGUGUCAUUUGGGACACACUAUAACACUCAGAUUGACAGUAUUGUUCUAACUCUCUUGUCUUGUUCUUAACGUAGAGCUUUGGGUCGUACCAUUUUGGGGAGUUUGAUCUGAGUGCUGUACAGAUUUCCCAGAGGUAUUCUACCGACUGCACCGGUUUCUACACCUCCGCUGGCCUUCUGAACUUCUCCUGACCACCUCUCCCCUGAACGUUCCCUCAGGUGAGAGAGAGAGAGAGAGAGAGAGAGGUAAAGAGAGAGAGAGGUAAAGAGAGAGAGAGGUAAAAGAGAGAGAGGUAAAGAGAGAGAGAGGUAAAGAGAGAGAGGUAAAGAGAGAGAGAGGUAAAGAGAGAGAGGUAAAGAGAGAGAGGUAAAGAGAGAGAGAGAGGUAAAGAGAGAGAGAGAGGUAAAGAGAGAGAGAGGUAAAGAGAGAGAGAGGUAAAGAGAGAGAGAGAGGUAAAGAGAGAGAGGAGGAGAGAGAGAACACAACAGUGGUUUUUACAUUGAUUACCUUUACUGUAAAUUGUUGUACAUUUUAAGUGGUCAGUUUUCAGUAAUUUACAACUUUUUUGACAGUUGUUUGACAGACGAGGUAAAUCUCAGCAAUUAUGGUAAAUUUCCUCAAAAAUCAGAAGUGUAAAUCCCUCUUCAGGCAGGACAUCAAAGCACUCUACUGUUGGCCAGCAGAGGGCUCUAUCAGGCUUUAUUAUAGUGUGGAGGAGGCAGGGAGCAUUCUCUCGUCUGUGUGUGUGUGUGCAGGCAUUUUGAGGGGCAGUGACACUGUUGUCUGUCACUUCCCUGUCAGCGCUGUUGUCUGUCCCCCCCCUGUCAGUGCUGUUG
Long non-coding RNA from Oncorhynchus tshawytscha (Chinook salmon), 1086 nucleotides. Lineage: Eukaryota; Metazoa; Chordata; Actinopteri; Salmoniformes; Salmonidae. The record is from Ensembl.